AUACAUGCAAGUAGAACGCUGAAGAGAGGAGCUUGCUCUUCUUGGAUGAGUUGCGAACGGGUGAGUAACGCGUAGGUAACCUGCCUUGUAGCGGGGGAUAACUAUUGGAAACGAUAGCUAAUACCGCAUAACAAUGGAUGACACAUGUCAUUUAUUUGAAAGGGGCAAUUGCUCCACUACAAGAUGGACCUGCGUUGUAUUAGCUAGUAGGUGAGGUAACGGCUCACCUAGGCGACGAUACAUAGCCGACCUGAGAGGGUGAUCGGCCACACUGGGACUGAGACACGGCCCAGACUCCUACGGGAGGCAGCAGUAGGGAAUCUUCGGCAAUGGGGGCAACCCUGACCGAGCAACGCCGCGUGAGUGAAGAAGGUUUUCGGAUCGUAAAGCUCUGUUGUAAGUCAAGAACGAGUGUGAGAGUGGAAAGUUCACACUGUGACGGUAGCUUACCAGAAAGGGACGGCUAACUACGUGCCAGCAGCCGCGGUAAUACGUAGGUCCCGAGCGUUGUCCGGAUUUAUUGGGCGUAAAGCGAGCGCAGGCGGUUUGAUAAGUCUGAAGUUAAAGGCUGUGGCUCAACCAUAGUUCGCUUUGGAAACUGUCAAACUUGAGUGCAGAAGGGGAGAGUGGAAUUCCAUGUGUAGCGGUGAAAUGCGUAGAUAUAUGGAGGAACACCGGUGGCGAAAGCGGCUCUCUGGUCUGUAACUGACGCUGAGGCUCGAAAGCGUGGGGAGCGAACAGGAUUAGAUACCCUGGUAGUCCACGCCGUAAACGAUGAGUGCUAGGUGUUGGAUCCUUUCCGGGAUUCAGUGCCGCAGCUAACGCAUUAAGCACUCCGCCUGGGGAGUACGACCGCAAGGUUGAAACUCAAAGGAAUUGACGGGGGCCCGCACAAGCGGUGGAGCAUGUGGUUUAAUUCGAAGCAACGCGAAGAACCUUACCAGGUCUUGACAUCCCGAUGCUAUUUCUAGAGAUAGAAAGUUACUUCGGUACAUCGGUGACAGGUGGUGCAUGGUUGUCGUCAGCUCGUGUCGUGAGAUGUUGGGUUAAGUCCCGCAACGAGCGCAACCCCUAUUGUUAGUUGCCAUCAUUCAGUUGGGCACUCUAGCGAGACUGCCGGUAAUAAACCGGAGGAAGGUGGGGAUGACGUCAAAUCAUCAUGCCCCUUAUGACCUGGGCUACACACGUGCUACAAUGGUUGGUACAACGAGUUGCGAGUCGGUGACGGCAAGCUAAUCUCUUAAAGCCAAUCUCAGUUCGGAUUGUAGGCUGCAACUCGCCUACAUGAAGUCGGAAUCGCUAGUAAUCGCGGAUCAGCACGCCGCGGUGAAUACGUUCCCGGGCCUUGUACACACCGCCCGUCACACCACGAGAGUUUGUAACACCCGAAGUCGGUGAGGUAACCUUUUGGAGCCAGCCGCCUAAGGUGG
RNAcentral lists this ribosomal RNA (1430 nucleotides) under Streptococcus salivarius. RNAcentral describes it as "bacterial SSU rRNA". It matches the Rfam family "Bacterial small subunit ribosomal RNA". The record is from RNAcentral. Lineage: Bacteria; Bacillati; Bacillota; Bacilli; Lactobacillales; Streptococcaceae.